UGGUGAUAUGAGUUGCUGAAUUCUGAAGGUAAACGACAACCCAUGAUAAAUUCAAAAUUGACUUGUUUUUAAUGAACCCAAGUAAUUUUUGGGUCAUGGUAAAAAACAUGUGAUAUGGCAAAUUAAAGCUAUUUUGUACUAUCAAAAAAUACAUUUUUGUUGACAGUCAGAUUAUGUCAUGGCAAAUUAAAGGUACCAUCAGAAAUAAAUUGUUGUUAACAGUCAGAUAGACCUACACUCAGGGCAGUUUAGACCUAUAUAUGUGUGGUUUGACUUAUGUGUUUACAUGUUCACAUUUUAUCUUGUAGUUUAUUGUGUUGUUGGGUUUCUAUCUCUAGAAUGCAUACCUAAAAUCUUUUUUAAAAAAAAAAGGAAAAGCAGAACCAACUUGUUCCCCUGAGAUGUUUGGAGAUAGUAUAAAAAUGUCCAUUUUUGUGACAUUUGAAAUAAAGCAACAAUAAAUAAACAAGCAAACAUUUAUCCCCUCACAAUUCUUUUUCUCAUCUACAUAAAAUCGUCAUAACAAAACAACCAUUAACUUAAUAUCAUAUUAUAACAAAGCAGUAAAAUAGAAUAUUUCAUUUACACAUAAAUAAAUCAUUCAUGGAAGACAUUUGAUAUUUUUUAACUAUUCAUUAUAGUAAUUCUCUAUUACAGUGACUCUUAAUGUAAUACAUCAUUAUAUUCAAGCAAUUUAUAAAAAAUAACUGAAUUUAUUUCUGAUUUUUUUCAGGUCAAUCAGGCAAUUUUAUUUUGUUAUUAAAUGCCUUGUUCACACGUACAUUUAAUUCGAAUUGAAUUUAAAUCAAUUGUGAAUCGAAUUCGCUAACCGCAUUCACACACUCUUCCUUUUUAAUUCGAAUUGAUUUAAAUUGACUAAUAGCACUAACCAAUUUGCAUUAGAAGUCUGUUUUUGUUGAUACGAAUUAAAGUUAAUAUCGUUCUGGCAGUAUCGCAAAUUUGAUGCGUAUUGCAAUUCGAAUUAGAAUUUACGUUUGGACGUAAAACAUUUCGAAUGGGAAUGAAACUAAUUCGAAUUAGUUAAUGCGAAUCAAAUUCGAAUUACGUGUGCAUGCAGUAUUAAUAUGUUACGAACAUGUCUAAAAGCAUAAUAAUUUGCCCAUUCU
RNAcentral lists this long non-coding RNA (1127 nucleotides) under Mytilus galloprovincialis (Mediterranean mussel). The record is from RNAcentral. Lineage: Eukaryota; Metazoa; Mollusca; Bivalvia; Mytilida; Mytilidae.